CAGGCACACUAACCCCAAAGGGAGGAGGCGGGGCCCGCGCAUCGAGGCCCCGCCCCUUCAUUUGCAUAACGUCAUCUUUCCGCCCACCACAGCCAAUCGCGGCCCGGGAGCCGGCUCGCUGGCGGCGCCAGGCCACGCUCUCUCAUUAACAUCCCGCUCCCGGUGGCGCAGGGGAGCCGGCCAAAGUUCCUGGCAAAGUAGCGAGCGAAGGAGCGCAGAGCACUGGCGUCUGGGCUGGGGAGGAGCGGGUCCGAGCGAGGACGGAGAGGGGACAGAGGGAAAGGGAGGCGGGUGUCUUCCUCAGGAAUUUGAGCUGGGGACCUGCAUCCUGGCCAUUGCAGUCCUUUAGCAUCCUCGCCGCGCCCUGAGCGCGCUGGAGGCUCGCAGGCUGCGCCCUCCCCGGGCUGAUGCCGCGUCCUGCUCCGCUGUUCUGGGACGUCGGGGACAAAAGUGGAGGAGACGGGAGAGCCCAGGCAGAAAAAGCAGGACGCGCGUCCCAGACAUGAUCGCUGGUAACAGAUGCCUGGUUCACUCUCAUCCUGGCCAUACCUGAGGACUAUGCUCCUCUUCUAGAAGUUCGGUGCAGUCAUCUGACUUAAUUGAUUCAGCGCAUUUAUCUGCAGGCUGGAGUACAAUAGCACGACAUCAGCUCACUGCAACAUCUGCCUCCCGGGUUCAAGCAAUUCUCCUGCCUCAGCUUCCCGAGUUGCUGGGAUUACAGGCGCCUGCCACCAUGCCCAGCUAAUUUUUGUAUUUUUAGUAGAGACGGGGUUUCACCAUGUUGGUCAGGCUGGUCUUGAACUCCUGACCUCAGGUGAUCUGCUUGCCUCGGCCUCCCAAAGUGCUGGGAUUACAGGUGUGAGCCACUGCACCUGGCCCGUGAGAUGGUUUUCUUGGGUAGAAUGAAAGAAGCUUGGCUACUGGGUCCAUUUUAUGUGAACAUGUUGCUCCCUAUUAUAGUCAGUCCCUGGAACCCAUUGUAAAGUCGGUUCUGGGUUUUUGCUUAGCUACCAUGUAGUAACAGUCACAGCCUGUCUCCUGUCACCCUAACACCAUCACCAUUGCCAGUGGAUAUUUUUACCCCUAGUUUAUAGUUAGGAAGCCUGAGACCCAGAGGGAUUAAAGAGCUUUUCCAAAAUCAUAUGGCUGGCAACACUAGUAAUCUGGGCUGCCUGAGUCCUAAACAUCAUUCUACCCCAGCAUUGAAUUCCGAGGCCUCUAGAAUCUUACCUACCUUCCCUGUUUGAAAUGUAUUUGUGGGGGAACAAUUGACCUCAGAAUGAGUAAUUUGUCACUACUCUGAGAAAGUUUCACCAAGUUUCACAUUUUCCCAUUACAAAAGGAAAAUGAGAAAAUAUGUCCUAGAUACUACAGAGAAAAAUACUUCAUUGUCUUAAUUGCCUUUCUAUUUCAAUCAAGGAAGGCAUUUAAUUAUUUCUGAACUACAUUCAAAACUCUCUCUCAAGAAUAUUACUCUCCCCAGGUGAGUUAACCAAAGCCGUGCACAACAUUUCUCAAUCUGAAUAAUAACAUCAAAAAAUUUAUUGAGCACUUUUUAUAUACCAAACUAGUCAAUUCUUUCUGUUUAUGACCUCAUUGAUUCCUCAUGGCAAGUUUAUGAAGUGGAAGCAAUCAUUCUCUCUUCUAACAAAUGAGGAAACUGAGGCACAGAGGGAUGAGAUAGUUUGUCUAAGAUUGUAAGGCAUUAGGUGGUGAAGUCAGCAUUGGAUCCCAGGCCAAGCCCGAGGCCAUCACUCCACCAUGCUGCCUCUCAAGAGAAAGAUUCAGUUUCCCCUUUGAGAUAUCCAUUUAUAAGUACAUGUGCCAAAGCAAUGUGAAGAAACCAACCCAGAUGACUUGAUUAAGCUACAGAAGGGACAUCUGGGGUCUCAAGCCUCUGGAAAUCAAGGUGGAGCAUGUAGAGAUUAUGGGGUCAGGAGAGACAGGGUUUGACUUCUUUGUUUUUUCUUUGAGACCAAGUCUUGCUCUGUUGCCCAGGCUGGAGUGCAGUGGUGUGAUCUUGGCUCAAUACAACCUCCACCUCCUGGGUUCAAGCGAUUCUCCUGCCUCGGGCUACUGAGUAGCUGGGAUUACAGGCGCAUGCCACCAGGCCAGCUAAUUUUUGUAUUUUUAGUAGAGACGGGGUUUCACCAUGUUGGUCAGGCUGGUCUCGAACUCCUGACCUCGUGAUCCACCUGCCUCGGCCUCCCAAAGUGCUGGGAUUACAGGCACGAGCCACCGCGCCCGGCCUGGGUUUGACUUCUUAAGCAACCUGAGGAAUGAUGUCCUUGCUGCUGAGCACAGCUGCCCUGGGCCCUGGAAAACCCACAUGACACUCACUCAGCACCCAAUGCUGGCUUCAUCGUGGCUUUUGGAAACCACGUGGAAAAGAAAUAACUUUUUUUGUGAUCUGUACGUUAUGGCUAUUAUUUUUUUACCUCGCUUAGCUUUUCAAGAGAAUGAAGACCAGUCGACUUAGUAUUUGUACUCUGAAUUCGAAUGGCAUGAACACUUGUGUUGUAUAAGUGAGAAGAAGUAUUUUCUUGUGUGAUGGACUAUAGCCUUCAGAAAGCACCUACUAUUAAACAGAAUAGAGAUUGGAUUUUGAAAUAUGUAGGCCACAUCAGUAGGAAAGUUGACAUUUCAAAUUGCUCACAAGGACUUUAAACUCUACAAUAGGUAAAAUGUGGAGUACCUUAUGUUUUCAGACCAAAUGAUUUUGUAAUUUGAAUUCAAAAUUUUUUUAGUCUUCACAGUAGUCUUAGCAUUAAAAGCAUAGUUAUUUUUAAUAUUUUGAUAAAAUAUUCUAUUUCAUUAAUUUUGUAUAAGGGCAUGUGUGAGAAGCAUUGAUAUUUUUAAAAUAUAAAAAUACAGCCUCUUUCUAAUAAGCAAGAGCAAUUGUUGAUUUUUAAAUUUUGUGUUUUUGGAGGCUUCCAUUCACAAAUCUGAUUGUUUAAAUAAAUGUAUCUCCAGUAAAUAUGUUGGCACUUA
Gorilla gorilla gorilla (western lowland gorilla) is the source of this 2991-nucleotide long non-coding RNA. RefSeq lists it as uncharacterized. The transcript is spliced from 3 exons. The record is from RefSeq and is a predicted model, not a curated record. NCBI's taxonomy places the organism in Eukaryota, Metazoa, Chordata, Mammalia, Primates, Hominidae.